Molecule: ribosomal RNA, 253 nt
Filed under: uncultured bacterium
Lineage: Bacteria
Description: partial 16S ribosomal RNA
Rfam family: Bacterial small subunit ribosomal RNA
Source: RNAcentral
UACGAAGGGGGCUAGCGUUGUUUGGAAUUACUGGGCGUAAAGCGCACGCAGGCGGAUUGAUAAGUCGGGGGUGAAAUCCCGGGGCUCAACCUCGGAAUUGCCUUCGAUACUGUUAGUCUUGAGUCCGGGAGAGGUGAGUGGAAUUCCUAGUGUAGAGGUGAAAUUCGUAGAUAUUAGGAAGAACACCAGUGGCGAAGGCGGCUCACUGGCCCGGUACUGACGCUCAUGUGCGAAAGCGUGGGGAGCAAACAGG